This 183-nucleotide non-coding RNA is filed under the name Desulfocicer vacuolatum. Lineage: Bacteria; Pseudomonadati; Thermodesulfobacteriota; Desulfobacteria; Desulfobacterales; Desulfobacteraceae. RNAcentral also lists the same sequence under 1 other name. The record is from RNAcentral.
UGUCCAGAUAAUUUAUCAGGUUUUGCUGUUGCAAACAGGGAAUCCCGUGAAAAUCGGGAGCGGGCCCGCCGCUGUAAUCGGGGACGAACACUGCAAACAUGUCACUGGAUAUUAAUAUCUGGGAAGGCGCAGUCAGUAGAAUGAUCCGAAAGUCAGAAGACCUGCCUGGUGAAGAAAAGCAAU